CCUCCCCCCCUACUGCGCGGAGAAGCCGGGUUGUCCCGCCUUGGUGACGUGGGUCAGACAGCUAACCUGAUCUGCUUGCUCCUUUCUGUUUGCCCAUACGAUUAAAAACCCUUCUGGGAAAAUAAGGAAGUGGGAGGAAAAGUAUUUCACUCGGAGCUUCAAGGGGCUGAUGCAUUUGGCAGGUUGCCCAUUUUCAUAUACCUUUUUCUUUAAAAAAAGAGAAAAGAAGAGGUCUCUGUUCUCUUAUAAGAAUUUUUGUUUUAUAAGCCAACAAUAAUUUUAACCAAAUUUUAAAAAUUAAGCCAGUAAGAAAGAAUCUGCAGUGUUUAUGUGACUUCUCCAAUUUACCAAGAGACUUUCAAUGCAGAAACACACAACUUUCACUGCAGGGGAGCGGGGGUCGCAGGGGUUAGUUAAUCAAGGUUAAUCGUUUUUUUAGUAUGUCCAGAUACCGGUAAUCAAAUACGAGACAAGACACAACCUGAAGCCUAAAUGACAGUGAACAUUAAUAUCAUCGUAUCUCCCAUCCACUUUCAUCGCCUCCUCCGUGCACGGAUAUUUAGGCAGUGGUUACCACAGUCCCAGAAGCCCAUGGUGGAGCACCCGCAGGCCGGAAGCAGGGGUGCUGGCCUUUCCUCAUGGGCCCCUUCUAACCUGGGCAGCCUGUGUCCAUCUGGUGCCCAGGCUCUCCUGACACUGCCCUCUGGGCAGCUGCACACCUUCCUGGUGUUAACAUAAACAUUCAAACCUGUGAAUAAUUUCUGGGAGCUUAUUUGAGCCAAACUGUUGACAAUUGCUGGAAAACAGAAUCUCAAGGAAUUAAGAUAAUGCUCUGGAGAAUGGUGAUUUUUCACCUUGUUUUAUACAUUACAAUCAAAAGAGGAGACGUUAGUGGGUUACAUGAACGCCAUUGGUGAUAGAUUAGGGAGAUGGGAGAAAGCAAAGCAGGGAAACCUCUGGGAUUGGAUAAAAAGUGAAAUGAUAGACACAUGCUUCUUUUACUUAGGUGGGUGUAGGGUAGUUAACGGUUAACAAUGACCUCAGUGACAGUGAGGGGUUUGUGGCCUCCUCAGAGUGGUGCUGUGCUUCGAGGGGUCUGAAAAAGAGGAAAAAUUACUUUGACAUUCCAACGACAUGUUAUCAUAGAUGCAAAAAGACAGUAGGCUCAGUUAAGGUAAAGACUGGCCUUUGUCAGGGGAGAGACCGGCCUAGGACAUGACUACCCACCAUAAUUGCUUUUAGUUAGAGUUUUAAUUUCAGACCAUCCUUCGUGGUUACUUUAGUCUCUGAGUUUGCAAGGCCGCCACGAAGGCUUUCCUGAGCUAGUCAGGUUAGCAUGUGGCCCCUCGCGUCCACACCAGCCAGCAGAGCCCUGGGCCACCGAGUGGGGCUUCUGAGACUGCACUGUGUUCGGCCUCCGCGAAUCUCUCCUGCGCAUGCUAUGGGCCUGGUCUGGGACGUCGACUGCUGCAGGGGCGUCUGUGGAUCAGCCCCAGGUGAUGGCAGUUAUUGCUGCUACAGGGGACAGAAGAGUCAAUAGGAGGGAUUUUUUUUCUUUGUAUUUCCUUACUCCUUACAUUAAAAAGAAUUCUAAGUGGAGGAAAGAUCCUAUGUAAUAAAAGCCUAAUAUGCUUAGUG
Myotis daubentonii (Daubenton's bat) is the source of this 1638-nucleotide long non-coding RNA. RefSeq lists it as uncharacterized. Lineage: Eukaryota; Metazoa; Chordata; Mammalia; Chiroptera; Vespertilionidae. The record is from RefSeq and is a predicted model, not a curated record.